RNAcentral lists this ribosomal RNA (512 nucleotides) under uncultured bacterium. RNAcentral's name for it is "partial 16S ribosomal RNA". It matches the Rfam family "Bacterial small subunit ribosomal RNA", at positions 28 to 523 of the family's 1533-position model. The record is from RNAcentral.
GACGAACGCUGGCGGCGUGCCUAAUACAUGCAAGUCGAGCGGACAGAAGGGAGCUUGCUCCCGGAAGUAAGCGGCGGACGGGUGAGUAACCAGUGGGCAACAUGCCUGUAAGACUGGGAUAACUUCGGGAAACCGGAGCUAAUACCGGAUAGGUUCUUACUCGGCAUGGGGGAAGAUGGAAAGACGGUUGCGGCUGUCACUUACCGAUGGGCCCGAGGGGCAUUAGCUAGUUGGUGGGGUAAUGGCCCACCAAGGCGACGAUGCGUAGCCGCCCUGAGAGGGUGUUCGGCCACACUGGGACUGAGACACGGCCCAGACGCCUACGGGAGGCAGCAGUAGGGAAUCUUCCGCAAUGGACGAAAGUCUGACGGAGCAACGCCGCGUGAGCGAAGAAGGCCUUCGGGUCGUAAAGCUCUGUUGUUAGGGAAGAACAAGUGCCAGAGUAACUGCUGGCACCUUGACGGUACCUGACCAGAAAGCCACGGCUAACUACGUGCCAGCCGCCGCCGUAA